GCCUGCAUAGCUCAGGGGCAGAGCACUAGUCUUGUAAACUAGGGGUCGUGAGUUUGAUUCUCACUGUGGGCU
This 72-nucleotide transfer RNA is filed under the name Tigriopus californicus. RNAcentral's name for it is "tRNA-Thr for anticodon UGU". It matches the Rfam family "tRNA". Rfam says of the family: Transfer RNA (tRNA) molecules are approximately 80 nucleotides in length. Their secondary structure includes four short double-helical elements and three loops (D, anti-codon, and T loops). Further hydrogen bonds mediate the characteristic L-shaped molecular structure. tRNAs have two regions of fundamental functional importance: the anti-codon, which is responsible for specific mRNA codon recognition, and the 3' end, to which the tRNAs corresponding amino acid is attached (by aminoacyl-tRNA synthetases). tRNAs cope with the degeneracy of the genetic code in two manners: having more than one tRNA (with a specific anti-codon) for a particular amino acid; and 'wobble' base-pairing, i.e. permitting non-standard base-pairing at the 3rd anti-codon position. The record is from Rfam by way of RNAcentral. Lineage: Eukaryota; Metazoa; Arthropoda; Copepoda; Harpacticoida; Harpacticidae.